AGCAGUGUAGCAUAGUGGCAAGGAGCAGGGCUCAUAACCAAAAGGUUGCGGGUUCGAUUCCCUGUUGGGCCACUGCUG
Megalops atlanticus (tarpon) is the source of this 78-nucleotide non-coding RNA. Lineage: Eukaryota; Metazoa; Chordata; Actinopteri; Elopiformes; Megalopidae. The record is from the annotation of a GenBank genome assembly.